This 378-nucleotide unclassified non-coding RNA is filed under the name plant metagenome. Its description in RNAcentral is "partial contains 5.8S ribosomal RNA, internal transcribed spacer 2, and large subunit ribosomal RNA". The stretch from base 1 to 105 matches the Rfam family "5.8S ribosomal RNA", at positions 50 to 154 of the family's 154-position model. The record is from RNAcentral.
GAAAUUCGAUAAUUAAUUUUAAUUUCAUCAUUCAUUUAAUCAUCGAAUCUUUGAACGCACCUUGCGCUCCUUGGUAUUCCUUGGAGCAUGCCUGUUUGAGUAUCAUGAAAUCUUCAAAGUAAAUCUUUUGUUAACUCAAUUGGUUUCUACUUUGGUAUUGGAGGUCUUUGCAGCUUCACACCUGCUCCUCUUUGUUCAUUAGCUGGAUCUCAGUGUUAUGCUUGGUUCCACUCGGCGUGAUAAGUUAUCUAUCGCUGAGGACACUGUAAAAGGUGGCCAAGGUAAAUGCAGAUGAACCGCUUCUAAUAGUCCAUUGACUUGGACAAUACUUUUAUGAUCUGAUCUCAAAUCAGGUAGGACUACCCGCUGAACUUAAGC